UAUACUACGACGAUCAAAUAUGUCGGUAUAUUUGAUUUUCAUUUUUAAAUCGCCAAAGUAAGAAAAAGUCACCGUAGAUUAAUUUAAAACUUAAUUAAUGGAAUACGAAAUAAUAGUUUGUGCAAUAUAAAAUAUAUGAAAUAGAUACUCGUUGCGAUAGAAAAUCAUAAUCAACACAAUACUUUAAUAUUUCCAAUUACAGCAACAAGAUUCGAAUAGAACGUAUUUUCCGUACAAUCUACGAUAUCGAGGGAAAGAUUAAUUGUGACGAAGAAGAAUGAAUUUUACAUUGACAUGUAUAAAGUAAUGAUUCUUGUAAAUGUGACUUUACGACAUCUUGAUAAUGAAAUAAGAUGUGAUUUUUUAUUUCUUUAUCUUUUAUUUUUUUUUAUGAAAUACGCGAAUGAAAAUAUUCCUGAUGAGUCAAUACUUCGCAAAAAUUAUUUAACCGGUUCAUACAAAUUAAAAAUGCGUAAUAUUAUAAUAAAAAUUACAUGCGGAUUGCCAUAGAGAAGAAGACUGACAAAAUUGAACGAUGUAUAACAAAUCUAAUUUUGGAAAAAUGUGUGAGAAUAAAACGACAUUACUUGAUUUAUUUUCGAGCAAAGAAUUAGAAGAAAACAAAUUACGUGAACAUAGCAUGCAAUUGUACGAAAACGUAGGCGAACUGCCACUGGCGUAUUAAUCGAUUGAACGUCAACCGUGCAAUCAUGGGGGAAUCUCUGCUUUGACGAGUCGUUACUAAUUAGGGCUGGGCCAUUUGACGAGACUUCCAAUGGACAUUAUAAUGACUGAUUGUGAGUAUCGGUGAUAAGUGGUAAAAUGAUAUAGGAGCUUAUACGCAUAUAUACAUAC
Molecule: long non-coding RNA, 855 nt
Organism: Vespula vulgaris
Lineage: Eukaryota; Metazoa; Arthropoda; Insecta; Hymenoptera; Vespidae
Exons: 2
Source: RefSeq, a predicted model, not a curated record